CUGAUGGCGGCGUAUGGGUGGAAAUCGGAAUCAAUCGCCCAAUUCCCCUUCGCACCGGAGAAAAUUAUCCGGUAGGGCAACGCCUAAACGUCAG
RNAcentral lists this non-coding RNA (94 nucleotides) under unclassified sequences. RNAcentral describes it as "L4-Archaeoglobi ribosomal protein leader". It matches the Rfam family "L4-Archaeoglobi ribosomal protein leades". The record is from RNAcentral.